UGGAAGAAAAAAGUGGAGAAAAUGUUUUGGCUCCUCUUUGAGCCUUUAUGAAGUCUUGACUGGACAAAGGCUCAGAGAGGAGCCGAAACGUUUUCUCCACUUUUUUGUUCU
Pelobates cultripes (western spadefoot toad) is the source of this 111-nucleotide non-coding RNA. The record is from the annotation of a GenBank genome assembly. Lineage: Eukaryota; Metazoa; Chordata; Amphibia; Anura; Pelobatidae.